GGUAAAAUGGCCGAGUAGGCAUUAGACUGUAAAUCUAAAGACAGAGGUAGAGCAUUCCUCUUUUUACCA
RNAcentral lists this transfer RNA (69 nucleotides) under Myotis ikonnikovi. RNAcentral's name for it is "tRNA-Tyr". It matches the Rfam family "tRNA". Rfam says of the family: Transfer RNA (tRNA) molecules are approximately 80 nucleotides in length. Their secondary structure includes four short double-helical elements and three loops (D, anti-codon, and T loops). Further hydrogen bonds mediate the characteristic L-shaped molecular structure. tRNAs have two regions of fundamental functional importance: the anti-codon, which is responsible for specific mRNA codon recognition, and the 3' end, to which the tRNAs corresponding amino acid is attached (by aminoacyl-tRNA synthetases). tRNAs cope with the degeneracy of the genetic code in two manners: having more than one tRNA (with a specific anti-codon) for a particular amino acid; and 'wobble' base-pairing, i.e. permitting non-standard base-pairing at the 3rd anti-codon position. The record is from RNAcentral. Lineage: Eukaryota; Metazoa; Chordata; Mammalia; Chiroptera; Vespertilionidae.